AGCGAACGCUGGCGGCAGGCUUAACACAUGCAAGUCGAACGGGCGUAGCAAUACGUCAGUGGCAGACGGGUGAGUAACGCGUGGGAACGUGCCUUUCGGUUCGGAACAACCCAGGGAAAAUUGGGCUAAUACCGGAUACGCCCUUACGGGGAAAGAUUUAUCGCCGAAAGAUCGGCCCGCGUCUGAUUAGCUUGUUGGUGAGGUAACGGCUCACCAAGGCGACGAUCAGUAGCUGGUCUGAGAGGAUGAUCAGCCACACUGGGACUGAGACACGGCCCAGACUCCUACGGGAGGCAGCAGUGGGGAAUAUUGGACAAUGGGGGAAACCCUGAUCCAGCCAUGCCGCGUGAGUGAUGAAGGCCCUAGGGUUGUAAAGCUCUUUUGUGCGG
Molecule: ribosomal RNA, 389 nt
Filed under: uncultured bacterium
Lineage: Bacteria
Description: bacterial SSU rRNA
Rfam family: Bacterial small subunit ribosomal RNA
Source: RNAcentral